GGACGAACGCUGGCGGCGUGCUUAACACAUGCAAGWCGAGCGGUAAGGSCCYUUCGGGGGUACACGAGCGGCGAACGGGUGAGUAACACGUGGGUGAUCUGCCUCGUACUCUGGGAUAAGCCUGGGAAACUGGGUCUAAUACCGGAUAUGACCACAUGUCGCAUGGUGUGUGGUGGAAAGAUUUAUCGGUGCGAGAUGRGCCCGCGGCCUAUCAGCUUGUUGGUGGGGUAAUGGCCUACCAAGGCGACGACGGGUAGCCGGCCUGAGAGGGCGACCGGCCACACUGGGACUGAGACACGGCCCAGACUCCUACGGGAGGCAGCAGUGGGGAAUAUUGCACAAUGGGCGGAAGCCUGAUGCAGCGACGCCGCGUGAGGGAUGACGGCCUUCGGGUUGUAAACCUCUUUCGACAGGGACGAAGGGAAACUGACGGUACCUGUAGAAGAAGCACCGGCCAWCUAC
This 462-nucleotide ribosomal RNA is filed under the name Nocardiaceae bacterium 'ARUP UnID 482'. RNAcentral describes it as "bacterial SSU rRNA". It matches the Rfam family "Bacterial small subunit ribosomal RNA", at positions 27 to 504 of the family's 1533-position model. The record is from RNAcentral. Lineage: Bacteria; Bacillati; Actinomycetota; Actinomycetes; Mycobacteriales; Nocardiaceae.